RNAcentral lists this transfer RNA (65 nucleotides) under Bavayia robusta. RNAcentral describes it as "tRNA-Cys". Lineage: Eukaryota; Metazoa; Chordata; Lepidosauria; Squamata; Diplodactylidae. The record is from RNAcentral.
AGUCCUGAAGUGAGAGUCACGUCAAAUUGCAAAUUUGAAAAAGUUCCUAUUUGGUUCCAGGGCUU